Molecule: ribosomal RNA, 2547 nt
Filed under: Escherichia coli
Lineage: Bacteria; Pseudomonadati; Pseudomonadota; Gammaproteobacteria; Enterobacterales; Enterobacteriaceae
Description: partial 23S ribosomal RNA
Rfam family: Bacterial large subunit ribosomal RNA
Source: RNAcentral
CUGUGAGCUCGAUGAGUAGGGCGGGACACGUGGUAUCCUGUCUGAAUAUGGGGGGACCAUCCUCCAAGGCUAAAUACUCCUGACUGACCGAUAGUGAACCAGUACCGUGAGGGAAAGGCGAAAAGAACCCCGGCGAGGGGAGUGAAAAAGAACCUGAAACCGUGUACGUACAAGCAGUGGGAGCCUCUUUUAUGGGGUGACUGCGUACCUUUUGUAUAAUGGGUCAGCGACUUAUAUUCUGUAGCAAGGUUAACCGAAUAGGGGAGCCGAAGGGAAACCGAGUCUUAACCGGGCGUUAAGUUGCAGGGUAUAGACCCGAAACCCGGUGAUCUAGCCAUGGGCAGGUUGAAGGUUGGGUAACACUAACUGGAGGACCGAACCGACUAAUGUUGAAAAAUUAGCGGAUGACUUGUGGCUGGGGGUGAAAGGCCAAUCAAACCGGGAGAUAGCUGGUUCUCCCCGAAAGCUAUUUAGGUAGCGCCUCGUGAAUUCAUCUCCGGGGGUAGAGCACUGUUUCGGCAAGGGGGUCAUCCCGACUUACCAACCCGAUGCAAACUGCGAAUACCGGAGAAUGUUAUCACGGGAGACACACGGCGGGUGCUAACGUCCGUCGUGAAGAGGGAAACAACCCAGACCGCCAGCUAAGGUCCCAAAGUCAUGGUUAAGUGGGAAACGAUGUGGGAAGGCCCAGACAGCCAGGAUGUUGGCUUAGAAGCAGCCAUCAUUUAAAGAAAGCGUAAUAGCUCACUGGUCGAGUCGGCCUGCGCGGAAGAUGUAACGGGGCUAAACCAUGCACCGAAGCUGCGGCAGCGACACUGUGUGUUGUUGGGUAGGGGAGCGUUCUGUAAGCCUGUGAAGGUGUGCUGUGAGGCAUGCUGGAGGUAUCAGAAGUGCGAAUGCUGACAUAAGUAACGAUAAAGCGGGUGAAAAGCCCGCUCGCCGGAAGACCAAGGGUUCCUGUCCAACGUUAAUCGGGGCAGGGUGAGUCGACCCCUAAGGCGAGGCCGAAAGGCGUAGUCGAUGGGAAACAGGUUAAUAUUCCUGUACUUGGUGUUACUGCGAAGGGGGGACGGAGAAGGCUAUGUUGGCCGGGCGACGGUUGUCCCGGUUUAAGCGUGUAGGCUGGUUUUCCAGGCAAAUCCGGAAAAUCAAGGCUGAGGCGUGAUGACGAGGCACUACGGUGCUGAAGCAACAAAUGCCCUGCUUCCAGGAAAAGCCUCUAAGCAUCAGGUAACAUCAAAUCGUACCCCAAACCGACACAGGUGGUCAGGUAGAGAAUACCAAGGCGCUUGAGAGAACUCGGGUGAAGGAACUAGGCAAAAUGGUGCCGUAACUUCGGGAGAAGGCACGCUGAUAUGUAGGUGAAGUCCCUCGCGGAUGGAGCUGAAAUCAGUCGAAGAUACCAGCUGGCUGCAACUGUUUAUUAAAAACACAGCACUGUGCAAACACGAAAGUGGACGUAUACGGUGUGACGCCUGCCCGGUGCCGGAAGGUUAAUUGAUGGGGUCAGCGCAAGCGAAGCUCUUGAUCGAAGCCCCGGUAAACGGCGGCCGUAACUAUAACGGUCCUAAGGUAGCGAAAUUCCUUGUCGGGUAAGUUCCGACCUGCACGAAUGGCGUAAUGAUGGCCAGGCUGUCUCCACCCGAGACUCAGUGAAAUUGAACUCGCUGUGAAGAUGCAGUGUACCCGCGGCAAGACGGAAAGACCCCGUGAACCUUUACUAUAGCUUGACACUGAACAUUGAGCCUUGAUGUGUAGGAUAGGUGGGAGGCUUUGAAGUGUGGACGCCAGUCUGCAUGGAGCCGACCUUGAAAUACCACCCUUUAAUGUUUGAUGUUCUAACGUGGACCCGUGAUCCGGGUUGCGGACAGUGUCUGGUGGGUAGUUUGACUGGGGCGGUCUCCUCCUAAAGAGUAACGGAGGAGCACGAAGGUUGGCUAAUCCUGGUCGGACAUCAGGAGGUUAGUGCAAUGGCAUAAGCCAGCUUGACUGCGAGCGUGACGGCGCGAGCAGGUGCGAAAGCAGGUCAUAGUGAUCCGGUGGUUCUGAAUGGAAGGGCCAUCGCUCAACGGAUAAAAGGUACUCCGGGGAUAACAGGCUGAUACCGCCCAAGAGUUCAUAUCGACGGCGGUGUUUGGCACCUCGAUGUCGGCUCAUCACAUCCUGGGGCUGAAGUAGGUCCCAAGGGUAUGGCUGUUCGCCAUUUAAAGUGGUACGCGAGCUGGGUUUAGAACGUCGUGAGACAGUUCGGUCCCUAUCUGCCGUGGGCGCUGGAGAACUGAGGGGGGCUGCUCCUAGUACGAGAGGACCGGAGUGGACGCAUCACUGGUGUUCGGGUUGUCAUGCCAAUGGCACUGCCCGGUAGCUAAAUGCGGAAGAGAUAAGUGCUGAAAGCAUCUAAGCACGAAACUUGCCCCGAGAUGAGUUCUCCCUGACCCUUUAAGGGUCCUGAAGGAACGUUGAAGACGACGACGUUGAUAGGCCGGGUGUGUAAGCGCAGCGAUGCGUUGAGCUAACCGGUACUAAUGAACCGUGAGGCUUAACCUU